GAUGAACGCUGGCGGCGUGCCUAACACAUGCAAGUCGAACGGUCUCGGAGGCCGGAAGUAACAUUCCGAUCUCCGAGAUAGUGGCGGACGGGUGAGUAACGCGUGGGCAACCUGCCUUUCACUGGGGGAUAACACAGGGAAACCUGUGCUAAUACCGCAUGACAUAUCGACAGGGCAUCCUGUUGAUAUCAAAGGAGCAAUCCGGUGGAAGAUGGGCCCGCGUCCAAUUAGCUGGUUGGCGGUGUAACGGACCACCAAGGCGACGAUUGGUAGCCGAACUGAGAGGUUGAUCGGCCACAUUGGGACUGAGACACGGCCCAGACUCCUACGGGAGGCAGCAGUGGGGAAUAUUGCGCAAUGGGGGGAACCCUGACGCAGCAACGCCGCGUGAAGGAAGAAGGUUUUCGGAUUGUAAACUUCUUUGAUGAGGGACGAACAAAAUGACGGUACCUCAGGAACAAGCCACGGCUAACUACGUGCCAGCAGCCGCGGUAAAAUAGCGUACUC
Molecule: ribosomal RNA, 507 nt
Filed under: uncultured bacterium
Lineage: Bacteria
Description: bacterial SSU rRNA
Rfam family: Bacterial small subunit ribosomal RNA
Source: RNAcentral